This is a long non-coding RNA of Bubalus bubalis (water buffalo), 361 nucleotides long. RefSeq lists it as uncharacterized. The transcript is spliced from 3 exons. NCBI's taxonomy places the organism in Eukaryota, Metazoa, Chordata, Mammalia, Artiodactyla, Bovidae. The record is from RefSeq and is a predicted model, not a curated record.
AUGGGGUCGCACAGAGUCGGACAUGACUGAAGCUACUUAGCAGCAGCAGCAGCAGCGGAGGGGCCUUGUGUGGUCAUUUCCAGACUCAGGAGAAGAUGGGCCUAAGGAGCACUGGAGUGGUUGUGGCAGCAGGACAGGCUCCCGGCUAGAACUCUGCAUUCUUUACAUUCCUGGCAUAUGUCAAUCCAGUUCAUUUUUAUCCGAAGACUGUGUUAUUGGUUCUUUCAGCUACAAAGCACUUGUGGCUUUCUGGGUGACUCAUCACUGGCUGGAGUGGGGCUGCCUGCAGCGCUGGUAAUGGACUAAACUAGCCUCUCAGAGCUGGUACUGAGCCAGGAGUUCCAUUCCUCGAGGAGCUGGG